AAGUCGUAACAAGGUAACCGUAGGUGAACCUGCGGUUGGAUCAUUAAUAAUGAUAUCCAAGUAAAAGUUUUUCGUGAAAUUAUUUUCAAGUCAAAUUUUGAACGGAGCACACCAGUGCAAACCCACUGUGAACUUGUAAUAGUAUUUGGGUCGAUUUCAGGUGUUUAAUUAUAUUAUUUAUACCUUUCGGCCCAACUUUAAAAACAAACCUUUAUAAUUUUGACUGAAUUUUGUUUCUAAUGAAUCAAAAACAACUUUUGACAACGGAUCUCUUGGCUCUC
RNAcentral lists this unclassified non-coding RNA (281 nucleotides) under fungal sp. RNAcentral's name for it is "partial internal transcribed spacer region". The stretch from base 1 to 46 matches the Rfam family "Eukaryotic small subunit ribosomal RNA", at positions 1786 to 1831 of the family's 1831-position model. Lineage: Eukaryota; Fungi. The record is from RNAcentral.